RNAcentral lists this transfer RNA (69 nucleotides) under Pujadella villari. RNAcentral's name for it is "tRNA-Lys". The record is from RNAcentral. Lineage: Eukaryota; Metazoa; Arthropoda; Insecta; Hymenoptera; Figitidae.
UAUUGAGUAUCUUAAAAAUUUAAAGUAAUGAUUUUUUAAAUCAUUUAUAGUAAUGUGUUACUCUUAAUA